GAUGAACGCUAGCAGCAGGCCUAAUACAUGCAAGUCGAACGGGAUUUGGGUGCUUGCACCUAAUGAGAGUGGCGCACGGGUGCGUAACACGUAUGUAACCUACCUUAAUCAGGGGGAUAGCAUCUCGAAAGAGAGACUAAUACCGCAUAAAAUCACACUAUGGCAUCAUAGAAUUAUCAAAUAUUUAUAGGAUUAAGGAGGGCAUGCGGAACAUUAGCUAGUUGGUAAGGUAACGGCUUACCAAGGCUACGAUGUUUAGGGGAUCGUGAGAGGAUGGCCCCCCACACUGGUACUGAGACACGGACCAGACUCCUACGGGAGGCAGCAGUAAGGAAUAUUGGUCAAUGGACGCAAGUCUGAACCAGCCAUGCCGCGUGCAGGAAGACGGCCCUACGGGUUGUAUACUGCUUUUGUACCGGAAUAAACCUCUUUACGUGUAAGGAGCUGAAUGUACGGUAAGAAUAAGGAUCGGCUAACUCCGUGCCAGCCGCCGCAGUAA
RNAcentral lists this ribosomal RNA (499 nucleotides) under uncultured bacterium. RNAcentral's name for it is "partial 16S ribosomal RNA". It matches the Rfam family "Bacterial small subunit ribosomal RNA", at positions 28 to 523 of the family's 1533-position model. The record is from RNAcentral.